GGAGGGGUGCAGGAGUGGUUGAACUGGCACGCCUGGAAAGUGUGUAUGGCGGCAACGUCAUCGAGGGUUCGAAUCCCUCUCCCUCCGCCA
This 90-nucleotide transfer RNA is filed under the name Candidatus Saccharimonadota bacterium. RNAcentral describes it as "Candidatus Saccharibacteria bacterium (sediment metagenome) tRNA-Ser". It matches the Rfam family "tRNA". Rfam says of the family: Transfer RNA (tRNA) molecules are approximately 80 nucleotides in length. Their secondary structure includes four short double-helical elements and three loops (D, anti-codon, and T loops). RNAcentral also lists the same sequence under 2 other names. The record is from RNAcentral. Lineage: Bacteria; Candidatus Saccharimonadota.